GCAGACGUGAUGGAACGGCAGACAUGCAAGAUUGAGGGUCUUGUGAGCGUUAGCUCGUGUGGGUUCAAAUCCCAUCGUCUGCAUCA
RNAcentral lists this transfer RNA (86 nucleotides) under Enterococcus thailandicus. RNAcentral describes it as "tRNA-Leu". It matches the Rfam family "tRNA". Rfam says of the family: Transfer RNA (tRNA) molecules are approximately 80 nucleotides in length. Their secondary structure includes four short double-helical elements and three loops (D, anti-codon, and T loops). The record is from RNAcentral. Lineage: Bacteria; Bacillati; Bacillota; Bacilli; Lactobacillales; Enterococcaceae. RNAcentral also lists the same sequence under 6 other names.